This 2211-nucleotide ribosomal RNA is filed under the name Triticum aestivum (bread wheat). Its description in RNAcentral is "partial small subunit ribosomal RNA". The record is from RNAcentral. Lineage: Eukaryota; Viridiplantae; Streptophyta; Magnoliopsida; Poales; Poaceae.
AUGGCGCCGUGGACCGGCUUAUGGGGCGCUAGGGCCGGCGCCGGCGCCGGUGCCUACCGGGGCACGCCGGUGGUGGUCAAGAUGGAGAACCCCAACUGGUCCAUCUCCGAGAUCUCCCCGGAGGACGCCGAGGACGAGGACUUCCUCGUCUCCGGCGCCGGCGCCGCCCGCCGCCGCAAGGGCGGCCGCGGGAAGAACGCCAAACAGAUCACCUGGGUGCUGCUCCUCAAGGCGCACCGCGCCGCCGGCUGCCUCGCCUCGCUGGCCUCCGCGGCCGUCACCCUCGGCGCCGCCGCCAGGCGCCGCGUGGCCGACGGCCGCACCGAUGCCGACGCCGGCGCCACGCCCGGCUCGGCGGGCGAGAGCCCCGUGCUCCGCUCCCGCUUCUACGCCUUCAUUAGGGCCUUCCUCCUCCUCUCCCUGCUCCUCCUCGCGGUCGAGCUCGCCGCGCGCUUCCACGGCUGGGACCUCGCCGCCUCCGCCCUGGCCCUCCCCAUUAUCGGCGUCGAGUCGCUCUACGCCUCCUGGCUGCGCCUCCGCGCCGCCUACCUCGCGCCGCUGCUCCAGUUCCUCACCGACGCCUGCGUCGUGCUCUUCCUCAUCCAGAGCGCCGACCGCCUCAUCCAGUGCCUCGGCAGCUUCUACAUCACCGUGAAGCGCAUCAAGCCCAGGCUCAAGUCCCCGGCGCUGCCGGACGCCGAGGACCCCGACGCCGGCUACUACCCCAUGGUGCUCGUGCAGAUACCAAUGUGCAACGAGAAAGAGGUCAGUGUCGCUCGCUCUCAAGCCGCACCAUUAAUCCCCUUUCCAAAUUCGCAGCCUCGUAACCAGCCAUUGUUCGUCGUGCAGGUGUAUCAGCAAUCAAUUGCGGCCGUCUGCAACCUCGAUUGGCCGAGGUCCAACUUCUUGGUUCAGGUUUUAGAUGACUCCGACGACCCGACGACGCAGUCGCUCAUCAGGGAGGAGGUCGCGAAGUGGCAGCAGACCGGGGCCCGGAUUCUGUACCGGCACCGCGUGCUCAGGGACGGGUACAAGGCCGGGAACCUCAAGUCGGCCAUGGCCUGCAGCUACGUCAAGGAUUACGAAUUUGUUGCCAUCUUUGACGCUGACUUCCAACCAAACCCCGACUUUUUAAAGCGCACUGUGCCACAUUUCAAGGACAAUGAUGAAUUGGGGCUGGUGCAAGCGAGAUGGUCGUUUGUGAACAAGGAUGAGAACUUAUUGACUCGGUUGCAGAACAUCAAUCUUUGCUUCCACUUUGAGGUGGAGCAGCAGGUGAAUGGUGUCUUCUUAAACUUCUUUGGGUUCAAUGGCACGGCCGGCGUGUGGAGGAUCAAGGCGCUGGAGGAGUCCGGCGGGUGGAUGGAGCGGACAACAGUGGAGGAUAUGGACAUUGCGGUUCGGGCGCAUCUCCAUGGCUGGAAGUUUAUCUUCCUGAACGAUGUCGAGUGCCAAUGUGAACUGCCAGAGUCAUACGAGGCUUACAGGAAGCAGCAACAUCGGUGGCAUUCCGGUCCAAUGCAGCUAUUCAGGCUUUGCAUACCGGACAUCAUCAAGUCCAAGAUUUCGGUGUGGAAGAAAUUCAACCUGAUCUUCCUCUUCUUCCUACUCCGGAAGCUCAUACUACCCUUCUACUCCUUCACGCUCUUCUGCAUCAUCCUCCCGAUGACCAUGUUUGUGCCCGAAGCCGAGCUCCCGGACUGGGUCGUAUGCUACAUCCCUGCCCUUAUGUCCCUGCUCAACAUCCUGCCGUCCCCGAAGUCGUUCCCUUUCAUCAUCCCAUACCUGCUCUUCGAGAACACCAUGUCGGUGACCAAGUUCAACGCCAUGAUCUCGGGCCUGUUCCAGCUCGGCAGCGCCUACGAGUGGGUUGUGACCAAGAAGUCGGGGCGGUCGUCGGAGGGCGACCUCAUCUCCCUGGCGGCGGCGCCGCCCAGGGAGCUGCGGCACCACCCGAAGACCGGGUCGGCGCCGAGCAUGGAGGCGCUGAUGGUGCUCAAGGAGCAGCCGAGCCCGAAGAAGGAAGGGAAGAAGCAGCAGAAGAAGCACAACCGGAUAUACAAGAAGGAGCUGGCGCUGUCGCUGCUCCUGCUGACGGCCGCCGCUCGCAGCCUGCUGACGAAGCAGGGUAUACACUUCUACUUCCUGCUGUUCCAGGGCAUCUCCUUCUUGUUAGUAGGCCUUGACCUCAUAGGCGAGCAGGUCGAAUGA